This 253-nucleotide ribosomal RNA is filed under the name uncultured bacterium. RNAcentral describes it as "partial 16S ribosomal RNA". It matches the Rfam family "Bacterial small subunit ribosomal RNA", at positions 524 to 776 of the family's 1533-position model. The record is from RNAcentral.
UACGAAGGGGGCUAGCGUUGCUCGGAAUCACUGGGCGUAAAGCGCACAUAGGCGGAUUGCUAAGUCAGGGGUGAAAUCCUGGAGCUCAACUCCAGAACUGCCUUUGAUACUGGCGAUCUUGAGUCCGGGAGAGGUGAGUGGAACUGCGAGUGUAGAGGUGAAAUUCGUAGAUAUUCGCAAGAACACCAGUGGCGAAGGCGGCUCACUGGCCCGGUACUGACGCUGAGGUGCGAAAGCGUGGGGAGCGAACAGG